UGUUUUUAAACAGAGUAAAAAAGUAAUUAUUUUACUCGACAAAAUAAUAUCCGUGUGUUUUUCAAAAACCGCGCGCAUUUUUCAGUCAGUCACGUCACGUGCACUCCGCUCAUCCACACUGGACCGCGCUCACUCACUCGCUGAUGGGACCACAGCAGGAUUAACGUUAUUCGCGAGACACGACGCGGUCAUGGUAAAAAAUACAGGUACGUUAACAUUAAGCAUUUCGAGCUUCUUUAAUCCCAUUUAAAGCACUCUAAAGUCAACUUUAUCUGAAAAUUAACAAGCUUAAUUAUCAAAAUGUGUGCAACUCUAGCUAAGGUUAGCACAGGAGCAAGGUGAUAACGCACCAUUAAGUUAUAUCAAAGUUAUCAACGGUGUUAAGUGUUAAAUAUGCAGUGGCAUACACAACAGUUCGUCAUUGGUAAAUUAAGAAGUAUUUUUGUGGUUUAUCACAUUACACAGCGUAUGACGAGUCCCGCAAAGUGUAACGUUAUUUUGAAAAUAAUGUUACCGUUAGAGAGACGCUGAUCUCUAACCGUCACUCCCUACACAGAUCUGAAGCGAGGUAAAGCGAACACACAUUCACUGCAUUAAAACAUUUUAACCUUUGUGUUCAGUGUUACUGAAUAUCUGUAGGUUUCAUCUAGAUUGUCCCAUCUGAUGCUGAUCAAGUUUACUAAAUCCGCCGAAUGUUUAACAAAAGGGCUGAAGAGCGUUUAUAAUGGCUGUUUAACGUUAGUUCACAUUUUACAGUUAUUUGCUCCUCACGUUGUCUUAUUUAAAAUACAUACUAACAAAUUGCUGUCAUACUUUGAAAUCAAUGUUUUUAGUGCAAAGGCAGAGAGUGAAGGUGUGGUGGUAUUGGCAGCAAGAAGGCUGCAAUAAUAUGGGUCUGAAAUGAAGUACCGGAACAUUAUCAGUCAUUCAAGCUAUGAUAUCCUGGCAGAUCUACUUCCUGAAAAGAAGACUCAGCAGAUCUUUUCAAGACACACUAGAUGGAGCUCGGAGAGACCGGACAGUUCCCACAGUGCUAGUUUUUCAGCACCCACACCCCAAACACAAAUUCGUAUAGAAGUUUUCAAUAAUAAAAAGUUUAUAUGAUAGUUUAUAUUUAGCUAUGAAGCAAUAGUUUAUUGUCAUAAAUAUUAAACUAAAUAUUAAAGUCCUUCUGUAGUGAAAAUCAAGUUUUUAUGCUGUUUUUUUUGUCUUUGUGGCAUUAAAUAUUGCUACAUCACAAUCCAAUAACCAAUCACAUCUAAGAAUAAUUUCCUAUAGCAUGCUAAUACCAGCGCACAAGCACAAAGCUAAAGACAAAAUUAUAGCAAAAAAACUUAAAUAUUUGACUACAGGGGACUUUCAUUUUUUUUUACUAGAUAUGAAAUUUUCACCAGUCUGUUCAAUGUGUUGAAAGUGAUUAUCUUUAAUAAUUCAGAUACUUGUUGAAAUGCACAUGUAAUUGAAUGCUUGCUUGGAUCUGGAAUGUUGUGUUAAUAAAUGUUAUGCUGAAAGAGAAUGUUGCAACAGUGCCAACCUGAAAAUAAAAUUUUAUUAAGCUACACUUUGUAAUGUUCAAAUUAAAGUUUAUACAAUGUUUUAUUCUUAAUAACAUUUAAGUGGAAAGAACAUUGUAGGCACAUUAUGCUGACCAUAAAAUAAAGUUCCAACAUUUUAACG
This is a long non-coding RNA of Carassius gibelio (silver crucian carp), 1677 nucleotides long. RefSeq lists it as uncharacterized. The transcript is spliced from 3 exons. The record is from RefSeq and is a predicted model, not a curated record. Lineage: Eukaryota; Metazoa; Chordata; Actinopteri; Cypriniformes; Cyprinidae.